AUACGGAGGGGGUUAGCGUUGUUCGGAAUUACUGGGCGUAAAGCGCACGUAGGCGGAUUGGAAAGUUGGGGGUGAAAUCCCAGGGCUCAACCCUGGAACUGCCUCCAAAACUAACAGUCUAGAGUUCGAGAGAGGUGAGUGGAAUUCCAAGUGCAGAGGUGAAAUUCGUAGAUAUUUGGAGGAACACCAGUGGCGAAGGCGGCUCACUGGCUCGAUACUGACGCUGAGGUGCGAAAGCGUGGGGAGCAAACAGGAUUAGAAACCCUAGUAGUCC
RNAcentral lists this ribosomal RNA (274 nucleotides) under uncultured bacterium. Its description in RNAcentral is "partial 16S ribosomal RNA". It matches the Rfam family "Bacterial small subunit ribosomal RNA", at positions 523 to 796 of the family's 1533-position model. The record is from RNAcentral.